UACGGAGGAUGCGAGCGUUAUCCGGAUUUAUUGGGUUUAAAGGGUGCGCAGGCGGGAGAUUAAGUCGGCGGUGAAAUUUUGCAGCUCAACUGUAAAAGUGCCUUCGAUACUGGUUUCCUUGAGUGUGGAUGAAGUAGGCGGAAUUUGUGGUGUAGCGGUGAAAUGCUUAGAUAUCACGAGGAACUCCGAUUGCGCAGGCAGCUUACUAAACCACUACUGACGCUCAGGCACGAAGGCGUGGGGAUCAAACAGGAUUAGAUACCCGGGUA
This 269-nucleotide ribosomal RNA is filed under the name uncultured prokaryote. RNAcentral's name for it is "partial 16S ribosomal RNA". It matches the Rfam family "Bacterial small subunit ribosomal RNA", at positions 524 to 792 of the family's 1533-position model. The record is from RNAcentral.